This 386-nucleotide ribosomal RNA is filed under the name uncultured bacterium. RNAcentral describes it as "bacterial SSU rRNA". It matches the Rfam family "Bacterial small subunit ribosomal RNA", at positions 29 to 416 of the family's 1533-position model. The record is from RNAcentral.
AUUAAACGCUGGCGGCAUGCCUUACACAUGCAAGUCGAACGGCAGCACGGGGGCAACCCUGGUGGCGAGUGGCGAACGGGUGAGUAAAGCAUCGGAACGUGCCCUGGAGUGGGGGAUAACGUAGCGAAAGUUACGCUAAUACCGCAUAUUCUGUGAGCAGGAAAGCAGGGGAUCGCAAGACCUUGCGCUCUGGGAGCGGCCGAUGUCGGAUUAGCUAGUUGGUGGGGUAAAGGCCUACCAAGGCGACGAUCCGUAGUGGGUCUGAGAGGAUGAUCCGCCACACUGGGACUGAGACACGGCCCAGACUCCUACGGGAGGCAGCAGUGGGGAAUUUUGGACAAUGGGCGAAAGCCUGAUCCAGCCAUGCCGCGUGAGUGAAGAAGGCC